UGAAAUGCGAUAACUAGUGUGAAUUGCAUUAUCUCGUGAACCAUCGAGUCUUUGAACGCACCUUGCACUGUUUGGAGAGUAUCUGAACAGUAUGGAUGUUUGAGAAUCAUAUAAAUAUCUAGAAAUAGGAAGUGAGGAAUCCAAAGGAAACUUUGUUCCUUGAAAUUUAUGCGCACGGUGAAAUGUGUGAUAAUAAUUACACAAAGUACCCCCUGCGAGACACCACUACUUUUUGAUCUCAAAUCAUCCAAGAUUACCCGCUGAACUUAA
This 270-nucleotide unclassified non-coding RNA is filed under the name uncultured fungus. RNAcentral describes it as "sequence contains ITS1". The stretch from base 1 to 109 matches the Rfam family "5.8S ribosomal RNA", at positions 49 to 154 of the family's 154-position model. The record is from RNAcentral. Lineage: Eukaryota; Fungi.